This 503-nucleotide ribosomal RNA is filed under the name uncultured bacterium. Its description in RNAcentral is "bacterial SSU rRNA". It matches the Rfam family "Bacterial small subunit ribosomal RNA", at positions 8 to 518 of the family's 1533-position model. The record is from RNAcentral.
AGAGUUUGAUUAUGGCUCAGGAUGAACGCUGGCGGCGUGCUAACACAUGCAAGUCGAACGAAGAGAACGAGAAGCUUGCUUUUGUCUCUGAGUGGCGGACGGGUGAGUAACGUGUGGGCAACCUAUCCUAAACAGGGGGAAUAAUCAUUGGAAACGAUGACUAAUACCGCGUAAUGUCGCUGAAAGGCAUCUUUUGGCGAAGAGAGGAGCAAUCCGGUUUUGGAGGGGCCCGCAUCUGAUUAGCUAGUUGGUGAGAUAACAGCUCACCAAGGCGACGAUCAGUAGCCGACCUGAGAGGGUGAUCGGCCACAUUGGGACUGAGACACGGCCCAAACUCCUACGGGAGGCAGCAGUGGGGAAUAUUGCACAAUGGGCGCAAGCCUGAAUGCAGCAACGCCGCGUGAAGGAAGAAGGGUUUCGGCUCGUAAACUUCUAUCGACAGGGACGAAACAAAUGACGGUACCUGAAUAAGAAGCCCCGGCUAACUACGUGCCAGCCGCAGC